GAGGGUAGAGCUCAAAGUGGUGGAGCGCAUGCUUAGCAGGCAUGAGGUCCUGGGUUCAAUCCCCAGGACCUCCU
This is a transfer RNA of Camelus ferus (Wild Bactrian camel), 74 nucleotides long. It matches the Rfam family "tRNA". From Rfam's summary of the family: Transfer RNA (tRNA) molecules are approximately 80 nucleotides in length. Their secondary structure includes four short double-helical elements and three loops (D, anti-codon, and T loops). The record is from Rfam. NCBI's taxonomy places the organism in Eukaryota, Metazoa, Chordata, Mammalia, Artiodactyla, Camelidae.